Molecule: ribosomal RNA, 253 nt
Filed under: uncultured bacterium
Lineage: Bacteria
Description: partial 16S ribosomal RNA
Rfam family: Bacterial small subunit ribosomal RNA
Source: RNAcentral
GACGAACCGUGCAAACGUUAUUCGGAAUCACUGGGCUUAAAGGGCGCGUAGGCGGGCAACCAAGUCCGAGGUGAAAUCCUCCAGCUUAACUGGAGAAGUGCCCCGGAUACUGGUGGCCUCGAGGAUGGUAGGGGCAUCUGGAACUAGCGGUGGAGCGGUGAAAUGCGUUGAUAUCGCUAGGAACUCCGGUGGCGAAGGCGAGGUGCUGGACCAUUUCUGACGCUGAGGCGCGAAAGCCAGGGGAGCGAACGGG